GACGAACGCUGGCGGCGUGCUUAACACAUGCAAGUCGAACGGUGAAGCUCCAGCUUGCUGGAGUGGAUCAGUGGCGAACGGGUGAGUAACACGUGAGCAACCUGCCCCUGACUCUGGAAUAAGCGCUGGAAACGGCGUCUAAUACUGGAUACGAGAAGGGUCCGCAUGGGCACUUUCUGGAAAGUUUUUCGGUUGGGGAUGGGCUCGCGGCCUAUCAGCUUGUUGGUGAGGUAAUGGCUCACCAAGGCGACGACGGGUAGCCGGCCUGAGAGGGCGACCGGCCACACUGGGACUGAGACACGGCCCAGACUCCUACGGGAGGCAGCAGUGGGGAAUAUUGCACAAUGGGCGAAAGCCUGAUGCAGCAACGCCGCGUGAGGGAUGACGGCCUUCGGGUUGUAAACCUCUUUCAGCAGGGAAGAAACGAAAGUGACGGUACCUGCAGAAGAAGCACCGGCUAACUACGUG
Molecule: ribosomal RNA, 468 nt
Filed under: uncultured bacterium
Lineage: Bacteria
Description: partial 16S ribosomal RNA
Rfam family: Bacterial small subunit ribosomal RNA
Source: RNAcentral